This 170-nucleotide small RNA is filed under the name Sphenodon punctatus (tuatara). RNAcentral describes it as "TUC338 (ENSSPUG00000001712.1)". Lineage: Eukaryota; Metazoa; Chordata; Lepidosauria; Sphenodontia; Sphenodontidae. The record is from RNAcentral.
AUAAAAACACUGGAAAUUAAGUGCUCAUUCAAAGAUGAUGUACUGCUUAGGCAGUGGUAAGGCUUUCUGCGCUACCUCUUUUCUAGUCUGCCUCACUCCUAACAUAGAGGAACUACCUCAAAGGGUGAGAGGGGAGAUUCAUCUCCGUGCUCAUUAAAUCUUUAACUUUA